CCUACGGGAGGCAGCAGUGAGGAAUAUUGGUCAAUGGACGCAAGUCUGAACCAGCCAUGCCGCGUGCAGGAAGACGGCUCUAUGAGUUGUAAACUGCUUUUGUACGAGGGUAAACGCAGAUACGCGUAUCUGUCUGAAAGUAUCGUACGAAUAAGGAUCGGCUAACUCCGUGCCAGCAGCCGCGGUAAUACGGAGGAUUCAAGCGUUAUCCGGAUUUAUUGGGUUUAAAGGGUGCGUAGGCGGUCGGAUAAGUUAGAGGUGAAAUCCCGAGGCUCAACUUCGGAAUUGCCUCUGAUACUGUUCGUCUAGAGAGUAGUUGCGUUAGGCGGAAUGUAUGGUGUAGCGGUGAAAUGCUUAGAGAUCAUACAGAACACCGAUUGCGAAGGCAGCUUACCAAGCUACUUCUGACGUUGAGGCACGAAAGCGUGGGGAGCAAACAGGAUUAGAUACCCCUGUAGUC
RNAcentral lists this ribosomal RNA (460 nucleotides) under uncultured bacterium. RNAcentral describes it as "partial 16S ribosomal RNA". It matches the Rfam family "Bacterial small subunit ribosomal RNA", at positions 338 to 795 of the family's 1533-position model. The record is from RNAcentral.